AUAUACAGAUAACAGCCUGAGUGUGUUCAUUUUACUAAAAGAGGAGCACUGGUGUUAUGAAAAGACAUAAAUGGUGACCAUCACUUAGAAGAGUGGUUUGCAAACUUGUCCUUUUAAACUUAUUUUUGAAUGUGACUCACAGUAAAAAAAAUAUACUUUCUUUCAUCACCAACACACACACAUACACACACAAAUUUAUAAAAUAGUACUUUACCUUAACUGCAUGUAAUGCAUUAUAUAUCCCAUCCCACCCAUCCCGAUUCAUGCCAUAGCAUUACUACCUGCUGAAAAAUACUCGUUAUAGACACACUGAAUAGAUUUUAUAAUACACUAUGGGCCAUGAUUUAUAAUUUGGAAAUUACUGAUUGAAAGAUAGCAGGUAAAGCUUCCUGGAGAGUAUAAACUAUAAACUAUAGACUUAGACUAAGAAAAUAAGGAGAAGGUAGUUAGGUAAAAAGUAGGGGAUGGGAGGCAGUGCAAAAUUGUGUUCCAGGCAGAGAAAACAGAGGUGUGGAUCCCUGGAAUUGGAAAGGAAUUUGGUGAGAUUAGGAAACUGAGAGAAGGGACAGUGUAGCUGGAAUACAUUGGCAGAGUGGGAGAGUGAUGAGUGAAUCUAUAUGCAUAUAACUCAAAGCUGUGUAGACUAUAUUAAUAAUGAAUUUUUUGAAGGAAACUAAUGGAGGAGGGAGUGGUGUUGACUUGAUCAGAUUGGUUUCAUGAACAGGUCAACCUGAAGGCAGGGUGGGGAAGAAUCUGAAGGGGGCAAGAAGAGCAGUUAAGAGGUUGUUGUAGUGAGCUGGGUGAGAGAGACGGUAGUUUAGAAUAGGCCAGAGCAGAAGGGUUAGAAGAAAGUAGAUGAGAUCAAGAUAUAUUUAGGAAACAAAACAAGAAGAUUUGGCGAUGCAUUGGCUGUGAAGAGGCAGUGAAGUAGAAUGAUGGGUUAACAACAACAGUUAUAAUAAUUGCUAACAUUUUAUAAUAGUUACUAAGCAUCAGACACUUUUCUGAGCAAUUUAUGUGUUAAAUUUGGCUUUCAAACAUUUUUCUGAAUGCAACCCACCUUAAGAAAUCUAUUUUAUGUUAUCAUACACACACAUGUAUUUAUAAAACUGCACCUCUCAGAUUUCUGGCUUAACAAUUCAGUAGAGGCUAGUGCUAUAAACUGAAAUAAAGAAUAAUGGAGAAGUCGGUUUUUUGGAGGAGAAAUGAGGGAUGAUGAGUUUGAUUUUGGAUAUCAUGAACUUUAGAUGUCUCUAUGUGGAUCUGAGCUCAGAAGAAUUAUUUGGGCUAUAGAUAAAACAUUUGGGAGUGAUCAGUGCAUAGAUUAAAAUUAAAGCUUAUGGGCUGAAUGAGAUCAUCUGGGCAGAGACAACAGAGUGAAAAGAAAAUGAGGUCUAGUUUAGAGCCUUAUACAAGUCAAAUAUUAACAGUCAAACUGAGAAGGAAGUGGAAAAAGGAGCUGAAAAGAGUGACCUAAGACAGAGGAGAAAGUCAGGAAAGAGUGUGGUCACAGAAUUGAGGUGUUUUGUUUGUUUCCUAGUAAAAUGAUGAGUAUAUUAGAAUGAGUAAUGAACUGUGUCAAAUGUUUCCGUAAAGUCAAGUAAAGUAAUAGUAAUAAAAGUUCCCUCUGGAUUUAGAACAUGCUUGUUGAUGGUGACCUCAGUGGGAGGUGAUCUCUGUGGUGGAGUGUGUCAGGGUUGUAAAUGUGUGACUUAAACAAAUUGUCUUUAAUCUAUGAUUAGGUAAAGUUCACAUGCUAACAUGCUUUUAAGGUAAUGUUCCCAUUUUUGGAUAGUUAAAAGCCUAGUCAAAAUUACGGUUUGGCCCACAAAGUCUGAGGUUGGAGCUCUGUCAACUGCAAAGACUUACUCUUCCAUCACAGUAGGGAUAUGAAUGAGAAGAACCACAGCACACUGAAGACAACAGUAAAGUAAGGAGAGUCUCGUAACAGCACGAAGGAAAAUUUACAGGAGCUGAGGAAUGAGAAGGAGUUGAAGGCAUGGAGAGUGGAGGAGUGAGGAGAGAAGAAGCUGUCGUACAAGAUCGCACUUGGAAUUCAUUUGCAUAGCUUUACAAUGGACGCCAUGACUCCCAACACAGAUCUACUGUUGUAUAACUUGCAAUGAAAAAGUGAACUUUGUGAAGAGGGUGGAGGUAAGAAGAUGGAUUUAUUGUUGAAUAAAAGAGUUCAAAGUUUCUUUUCUUUUGUCAGGGAGCAACUGAUGUUCACAGAGAACUCUUGUGAUCUUAGAUGAGCCCAAAUCUCCAAGAAGACAGAUCCUCUUUACUCCCACGCACACAACAAAGAGAAAGAUUACCAAGACAUGACUUACAAAGGAGAUGGCCUGAAACUGGUGUUGGCAGCUUGUUCCCUCACCCACCCAAAGCAAUAAAGGGAUUAUAGUCGGAGAGGCUGGGCGGUAGGAGAUAGAAGACGUCUCACAGUUGGUGUGCUCUGUGUUCUUCCCCUUCCCCAAGGUAGAGAAGUGUGUGCAUGUGUUGGGCUGGUGGAUUGUUUUCUUCUCAUCUCAAAUCUAUUAAGAAGCACUGCAUGAAAACCUCGCGGAGAUACAGAUCUGUGUAUCCGUGGUCUGGAGAACAUGGAAGCUGAGGCAGGAGCCGCUUGCCAGGCAACUAAAUAAAAAGAAAGGAACAAGGAAAAUGAGGGAGUGAAAGCCAUUUUAUGGAAUCUGUUCCAUGGAACGGGAGCUGUGCUCCAUAGAGUCCUCGACGUCCAGGAGGAGGGUGCCUGUGGUUCAGAUAGAUAUUUUUGGCAAUGUUCUGCGAAGUUGGAAAAACAUCGCUCUGUGGGUUUCUCAGAAACAUUUGCAAUUUUUCUCCUAUGCAUUGUGCUAGUAGCAACUUCUAAUCAGCAGGAAACCGGGCAUGAGCGAUUUAUCCAUUAAGUGAGUCAUUUGAGACCCCUUGCUAUAAAAUCCUAUGCUUAUCCGGAUGUGGUACAGAAUGUGAAGCAUCUUUAUCCAGCUGAGAUUUGCCUAGAGCCUCCCAGUACAUAGUGGUAUAUUCUUUGUUGUGGCUCCUUCUAGUUGUGGCAUGUGGGACGCCGCCCCAGCGUGGCUUGAUGAGCAGUGCCGUGUCAGCGCCCAGGAUUCAAACCAACGAAACACUGGGCCACCUGCAGCAGAGCGCGCAAACUUAACCACUCGGCCACGGGGCCAGCCCCCCAGCUCACUUUUUGAGGAAGGUUGGAUUAUAUUAAGUUGUAGGUUCCUCUGGUUGUGCUAUGUGGGAUGCCACCUUAGCAUGGCUUGAUGAGCGGUGCCAUGUCUGCGCCCAGGAUCUGAACCGGUGAAACCCUGGAUCACCAAAGUGGAGCAUGAGAUCACUCAGCCACGGAGCUGACCCCUGUGUAAAGAAUUUUGUGUGGACAUAAGUUUUCAACUCCUUUGGUAUGGUGGAGUGUAGAUAGGCCUGGUCCCUGCCUAGCCUUGAAGAAGACUGGAAGCUCCCUUGGUCUUUUGGAGUCCUGAGCUACCAGGUAAGAAGAAGACUUCCCUGUGGGGAGAACAAAUGGAGAGGCCUUGAGACUUGGUGGGGAGGAAGAGGGCUCCAGCCAAGUUUAGGCUUCUAGCCAUCCCUGCCAAGGAACCAGGGAUGUGAAUGAAGCUACCUUGGACAAUCAAGACAAGUGGAGCUUCCAGUUGAGAGAGACUGGAGUCAAUACCAUAUGGAACAGAAGAAUCACUCAUCGGUCUCACCCUCUUAAGUUCCCGACCCCCAAAAUUGUGAGAUAUUAAGAUUGUUGUUUUUGUCACUAAAAUUUAGACCAGUUUGUUACGCAGCAAUAGAAAAUAAGAAGAAAUGCUCAUCUUGAAUUUUUUUGAUUCUUUUAAUGUAAUGAAUUGCCUUCAUUGGAAAGAAUAUAUGUGCAAAUCCUAAGAGUAAAGACUAAGAAAUCGUUUUUUUUUUUUUAAACUUUGGAACAGGAAAUCAUGACCAGGCAGACUAAGGUAAGAAACAACAGAAUAAACAUUCAAUAGUGAAAUUAGGAAAAGAUCUCAGCAUUAAUAACAACAACAAAAAUCUUAUUGCUAGACAUAUUAAUUAUAUUGAUUGGAACUGACUGACUAAAGAACACUGUCUCAGUGUUAUAACAACAUUUUGUUUCUUUGAAAUGACAUACUACCUUUAAUUAUAGGAAAAUUAUAACUCAUAAUGGAAUUUGUUUUGUGCAACUGCUUGCCGUUAAGUGCAGACCACAUAGAACUUUCUAAAGGUCUGUCUCACUUUGAAUACUUUAAGGAAAUAAAGCAUAAAACGUAAAGAACUCCUGUUAUAUUUUACCCUAAUCAAGUCCCUAACUAAUGAAAUUAAUGAUUAAUCAUUAGUUACUCAUGGUAGAAGACACUAAAAUUUUAUCAGGGAGAGAAAAUGAUCAAAAGUAGUCUUCAUUUUCCAUCAAAAACGCCAACCCACAUUAAAUAACAUGCUUACAGCUAAAUGUUGCAUAUCAUUUUUAAAGUUUAGAAAUUAAAAAAGGUCAGAUAGCUUCCUCAGAAAAUAUGACAAUAUUAAAACUCCGUUCAGAAAUUGAUAAAGAUUAAAAUUCUGAAUAGGCGGUGAAAGUUUUCCUGUACCAUCAAAGAUUUUAAUUGACUGAGUCUUCAUAUAGAUAUUCAUUAGGCAACUAUUUUUUAUUACUUCAAGAGAGCAUAGUUACAAUUAAACUGAGAUGACCUUUCCGUUUCGGGAUGGCUUAUUCAGACUAUUUGCAGUUAUGACUGAAUGGGUCACCUUUAUUCCUGCACUAAAUGAAAGUGGUUCAUAUUUUUGUCGCUGCUACUAUUUCAUGGUUUUACAUUGGAAAUUAAUCAUAUCAUAUUGAUCCCUAAAGGCACACACCAAUUGCAGAAGGAAAGUUUAAUAUUUCACAAUCUUGGCAUAGUUAGGAGAAAACACAGACAUAAAUUGUAGUUGAAGGAUUCUUAUGGUAAAUUAAUUUGGAAUCUUUAUUCAUCAAAACCCAAGACUUUUGGCUAUGAGGUAUGCUGGCCGGGGGAUGGAAGUAUGCUCCAGCAAGAGCAAGGAGACCUGAUGCUGUGGUAGUGCCAAGCAGAGUGGGCCGCCUGGGCAGCAACAUGCCUUCACACAAACUGUGCUCUGCGUACAGCUGAAGGAAUUGAAGGAAUCUGACUGAGGACUAGAGAAGUUAAGUCACUGCAGACAGAUACAGAGAAGUGGCAAAGAAUGACUACAUCUUCCACUCAGGUUCCAACAUCAGCAGCAUGGAUGCCAUCUUUGACUCAUUUAUUUUCUUCAGUUUACAUCUAAUGAGCCAAGACUUUAAUUACUUCAACAAACAUUUAUUGAUCUGCUGCACUAUAUCAGACAAUGUUCUAGACUCUUGGGAUACAGCAGGAAACAAAGCAAACUAAGCUUCUAUUUUUGCAGAACUUAUACUUAGUGGGUGUAUGUAUUAGUCAGGGUCCCGUCAGAACAAGAAAUGAACCAAGAACAUUUAAUUGAAAGAAUUAUCAACUAAUUUCAGGCAUCUAACUAUUAAGGGAUAAAGGAACUCUAAAGAAUACCAGAAUAGCAGAUACAACUUCCAAGGCUGAGAGCACACCGAAGGAAGAAACAAAUUUGGAAAAGACUGCCCUCCCCUAAAGGCUGAGAUUCAGACCUUACUGGAAAGGAUGUGGAUGUAAUCCCAUUGGAUGGUACGGAUGGUAGAGACUUUGACUGAGAUGCCACUGGCAAGGACUGGCAAGCAGGAAACUGCCUGCUGGGGAAUGAUGUGCUUAGAAGCCACGCAUUGGGCACCGGCAAGCAUCCUGGGAUGCUUCCCACUGGAAUGCCACCAAGAUGUGCUCAGAAGCUUUUCACUGGGUAUCUGUGGCAUCAAGAGCCCAAAAUGGUCCAGUGGCAGGCUCAGUUUACAGUUUAAUGGAACCACUGUCGUGCUCCAUGGUGGAAGCCUUCCUUCCUUGGGGUCUAAGACCUCCAAAACAGCAGAGCUCAGGGUGUUCAGGAGAGAAAGCAGAAGCUAUGGGAGUGCCUUAUUAAGUAUAACAGUGAGAGAAGCCAUUUCAACGAUGACUCUUUGAUUUCAAGAACUAUGUAUGCUGGAUCUAGGGGACAAGGUGCCAUAAUGUGAUCUCUAAUUCAAGGAUAUACAGCAUCCUCUAAGAUGACUUCACUUGCCUCCCAGCUGGCACUGUAUCUGAGUUUUUCAUAAGCCAUUACACCUUCCAAUUGGACCAGCUGCUACUGGGUGAUGGAGUAUAUGGUAAGAGCUCUCUUGAAGCCCACAGAUGUGGAUUGAGGUAGAAGAGACAAUGUAAAAGAAGUUGACUUCAAAUCCAUCUGAGUCGCUGUGCAACCUGCUCAUACCUGUCAGACCUUUCUGUAGGUCUCUUAUAUAACACUGAUGGUAGAUUGCCUUUGUGAGUGACAAUUUUAUGGCAAGGCUUUUUGGAGUAAUUCAAGAUCGUUUCUGCCAGUGCCCAGGCAAUUAACUCUGUGGCUACAGUUCACCUGCUAACUUGAUAUCCCAUCAUAUUAUUAGAUGCUGAAACUUGAAUUUCAUCUAGCCCAGAAGUCUUUGAACUCAGUGAGGUAAAGAUUUCUCAUCUAUCAAGUCAAAUGCUGUGAUUUAUCUACAUUUUCAGAAUUAUAUACUGACUGAGUUGGGAUCAUCAUCAGCGUCAUCUUAUUUCAUAUCACUAUUAUCUCUCCUGUACCUGUAGGUCAGUUCUCUUUCUGGCAAGUGAUAGGGAAUAUUAAAACUGAAUGGGGAAAUAUUCCAAAAAUAAUAGAUUUGAUAUCUUCCUUCCAUGAUUACUUUUACUCUUUUAGCAACAUGCUGUUUCAAUUUAAUAACUUCUGGAGUGCCUUUUCUGGCAAAGCAUGUUCUUAAUACGGGCCAGGCAGAGAUAAUUGAGUUAGGUGUUUGCCAUAAGGAACCUUCCACCUUGGAAAAGAGUUACACGUGCUUUUGAAUAGCUGUAAUUAGAGGUCUACCACAGACACUGCCAAAAGGGAGGUGGGAAUCCAUCGUGAAGAAUGCCAGAGAAAAAUCAUUAACGAUGGCUCAGUAUGUGAAGAGAAACUUUAGCAUUUUGAUCCUUUUCAACCAAUGCCUAUUUUUAUGAGUAAAAUUCAAGCAUGCGUUGCCCAGUCCAGAAAUCUACAAUCUGUGAAAUGCAAUACAAGCAGCAUCCAGGAAAUCUCCAAAAUACAAAGUGGUGAUCAGUUUUCUGAACUCUGCUGGACUUAGAUUUUUCUCAAGCUUUAUAGUUCCUAAUUAUUCUAUAUGAUUAAGAGGCUCAAUAAUUACUAGGAUGCUCAUAAUUUAUUUUCAGACACUAUUUACCCCCAUUAUGUCGUCUUUGAUUCCCUCCCUCUCUCCGUUGCUUUAAUUUGUCCUUAGAACUCAAUUUAUCCCUCGUUCUUUUAAAAUAAAAUAGCGUUCCUUAUCCAACUGUCAAUAUCUUAUUCCUGUAUCUUAUUUUAUACAAUUUUAAGAUGAUUAUCUCAAGAUAGUUCUCAAAAUUCAUUUAAUCAUUUUUGCAAAUACAAUUUUAGACCUACCAAAUAUAUGCUGAAGCUGGAUCUCAAAUUCUAAUUAAACUGAGAUAAACUUAUGUGACCUUAAAAACCCCAAUGCAGGAGGCAGUUAUGUUUCUUUUUACUUUAAUUUAGAAGCAAUAUUUAAUAUGUCUCAAUUUAUAUUUGUUUAAUAGAUUUUCAUUAUUUCUCAAAGUAUAACAUCAUUUACUGAAAGUAUAUAUUCUACAGGUAUUUCUAUAUGUUAUUCAAUUAGAAAAAUGUAAUAAUUUUAUUAAUUUGAUAUCAUUUUUAAUAUGGUGGCAGGUUUGGUAUAUCUUACUAAAUCAGCAAAUACAGUUAUGGGUAAUAUAAUUACAUUGUAGCUAUAAAUAUAAAUGUCUAAUUAGACACAUUUCCCUGUAGAGAGAUAGGGGAUGUAUAGUCGUGUUGAGGUUUGGCAUGUGUUUUAUUAUUUCGCUACUAAAUGACUUCAUAGGGCUUUCCUAAAAGGAAAGCAGGGUAUUUAUCUUUUUGAUGUCUUUAUUCCUGAAGAUAUCUUUACGGAUAAUUAAAAUAUUAAGUUUCAAAGACUUGCACUUAGUAUGUUUAUCAGUCAGAGUACCAGCCAGAAACAGACAGCAAGCUAAAAUUAGGCUAACUGAAGGCGGGUUUAAUAAAGGAACUAAAUAUGAAGUAGGCGAGAUGGAAGGAAACGUCACGAGACAGCCAGAACUCCCAGGUUGGUGGGAGUGGUGCUCAUCAGCCCUGACCUUUCCGAUGAGCCUGGGGAGGGAGCAGUUUUGGAACCUCGAAAGGAAGCUUGCUGUGGAGAGGGCUGCCUUGGAAGAAGGUUCGUUUGGUUGAGGGACAUGGGCAACGACAAAGUAAGAGAGCAAGGGAAUAAAUGUUCCAAUAUCUUCUUCCAUGGAUCUUUGGAAGGAUUUCCCUAUUGACUAAAUCCAACCAAGAGCCUGAGCACAUGGGUGUCCUUGACGUGGUUUGUACAAGUCAAUCUUCAGAGACCCAAGCGCAGGGUGGAUCUGGGAGGCAAACAGAG
Molecule: long non-coding RNA, 8569 nt
Filed under: Equus caballus (horse)
Lineage: Eukaryota; Metazoa; Chordata; Mammalia; Perissodactyla; Equidae
Description: lncRNA (ENSECAG00000047110.1)
Source: RNAcentral